Toxorhynchites rutilus septentrionalis is the source of this 322-nucleotide long non-coding RNA. RefSeq lists it as uncharacterized. The transcript has 2 exons. The record is from RefSeq and is a predicted model, not a curated record. Lineage: Eukaryota; Metazoa; Arthropoda; Insecta; Diptera; Culicidae.
UUACAAUAACCCGUUUGAUGAUAAUAAUUUUCUUGAAUCAUGCUUUAUACUAUAUUUGAUUGUUUUGUUUUUUUUCGUUGAUAACUUUAUUAAUAUAUUUUUUCUUGCGUUUUUUUGAGUAUUUGCGAGCCUCCAAGGCGAAUCUCCUGUCCAUAGUUGGACCUACUGGAUUCCCUAUAGUACUGAUGAAAUAUGUCAUGAGAUACCAAAACGAAGCAGUUACUGAAGCAGAUCAUGCAAGCGAAUCCAUGAGAGCAGAGAGCAUUUCCGGAGAUUUUUUUAAAUAUGUUAAUUGAAGUCCAAUAAAUUAUUUUCAUUUUAA